Molecule: ribosomal RNA, 148 nt
Filed under: uncultured eukaryote
Lineage: Eukaryota
Description: partial 18S ribosomal RNA
Rfam family: Eukaryotic small subunit ribosomal RNA
Source: RNAcentral
GUCUGUCCUGGUCCGGAAGGAUCGGGUAACCCGUUGAACCUCCUUCGUGCUAGGGAUUGUGGUUUGCAAUUUUUCCACAUGAACGAGGAAUUCCCAGUAAGCGCAAGUCAUAAGCUUGCGUUGAUUACGUCCCUGCCCUUUGUACACA